GAGACACACCUGUGGAGUAGGACUUGCUUUAGUGGGGCUUUGGUACUCACUGAGUCUUCCCCUUGAGUGUGUUGCU
Molecule: microRNA precursor, 76 nt
Filed under: Myotis brandtii (Brandt's bat)
Lineage: Eukaryota; Metazoa; Chordata; Mammalia; Chiroptera; Vespertilionidae
Description: mir-9229 microRNA precursor family
Rfam family: mir-9229 microRNA precursor family
Source: Rfam by way of RNAcentral